GUCUACGGCCAUACCACCCUGAACGCGCCCAAUCUCGUCUGAUCUCGGAAGCUAAGCAGGGUCGGGCCUGGUUAGUACUUGGAUGGGAGACA
RNAcentral lists this ribosomal RNA (92 nucleotides) under Neogale vison (American mink). The record is from RNAcentral. Lineage: Eukaryota; Metazoa; Chordata; Mammalia; Carnivora; Mustelidae.